GACGAACGCUGGCGGCGUGCCUAAUACAUGCAAGUUGAGCGCUGAAGGUUGGUACUUGUACCAACUGGAUGAGCAGCGAACGGGUGAGUAACGCGUGGGGAAUCUGCCUUUGAGCGGGGGACAACAUUUGGAAACGAAUGCUAAUACCGCAUAAAAACUUUAAACACAAGUUUUAAGUUUGAAAGAUGCAAUUGCAUCACUCAAAGAUGAUCCCGCGUUGUAUUAGCUAGUUGGUGAGGUAAAGGCUCACCAAGGCGAUGAUACAUAGCCGACCUGAGAGGGUGAUCGGCCACAUUGGGACUGCGACACGGCCCAAACUCCUACGGGAGGCAGCAGUAGGGAAUCUUCGGCAAUGGACGAAAGUCUGACCGAGCAACGCCGCGUGAGUGAAGAAGGUUGUCGGAUCGUAAAACUCUGUUGGUAGAGAAGAACGUUGGUGAGAGUGGAAAGCUCAUCAAGUGACGGUAACUACCCAGAAAGGGACGGCUAACUACGUG
RNAcentral lists this ribosomal RNA (497 nucleotides) under uncultured bacterium. Its description in RNAcentral is "partial 16S ribosomal RNA". It matches the Rfam family "Bacterial small subunit ribosomal RNA", at positions 28 to 507 of the family's 1533-position model. The record is from RNAcentral.